Molecule: ribosomal RNA, 155 nt
Filed under: uncultured Bacteroidota bacterium
Lineage: Bacteria; Pseudomonadati; Bacteroidota
Description: uncultured Bacteroidetes bacterium partial 16S ribosomal RNA
Rfam family: Bacterial small subunit ribosomal RNA
Source: RNAcentral
UAGGGAAUAUUGGUCAAUGGAGGCAACUCUGAACCAGCCAUGCCGCGUGCAGGAAGACUGCCCUAUGGGUUGUAAACUGCUUUUGUACGGGAAGAAAUGUUACUACGUGUAGUAAUUUGACGGUACCGUAAGAAUAAGGAUCGGCUAACUUCGUG